GUCUCUGUGGCGCAGUGGGUCAGCGCGUUUGGCUGUUAACCAAGAGGAUGGUGGUUUGAGCCAACCCAGGGACG
Molecule: transfer RNA, 74 nt
Filed under: Chelydra serpentina (North American snapping turtle)
Lineage: Eukaryota; Metazoa; Chordata; Testudines; Chelydridae
Rfam family: tRNA
About the family: Transfer RNA (tRNA) molecules are approximately 80 nucleotides in length. Their secondary structure includes four short double-helical elements and three loops (D, anti-codon, and T loops).
Source: Rfam by way of RNAcentral